GCACGUGGGGAAGGAGAAAGGCGCUUAGAGGCGCAGCGGCCGGGGUCGCGGCUGGGAGGCCGUGUUCUGAGAACGCCGCAGCUGUAGUGGGUGCAGUGACUCCUGCUAGAGAUACAAUUCCUCAUGAACUGAUGCCUAAGGCCCCACAGCUACCUGCUACGGCCCAGUCCUAACAGAAGCUCACGCUGAUAUUAGUGAGGAGAAGACACCAGUCCUCAUUAACUGUCUGGUGGCUAACACCCUGCGGCACACCUGCUGCUGACAAGUCCAAACACAGGCUGCAUCUCAUCCUGAGUGAACCAAAGGUCCCAACCACAAUCCCCAUCUGCCAGGGACACUGGGAGGACCAUCACGUCUGCUGCGGUGCAUGGAGGGGGACAUGCAGCCACCUGCACCUGUGACAGUGCCUGUCUUUCUCCGGGUUGAACUCAAAAGAAACAAACUUUCAGGUCAUUCCAUGGAGUCAUAUACCCAACUGAGGAGAAAUCUGCCUCUAAAAUCCAGAGGCCCCCCGGGCGCUGGUUCUCCAUCUUGGUAGCAGGUGGGGCCAGAUGCCAGCAAUCAUUGUUUACCUCAGACACCUGCCUGCCCCACAGAAGAGCACCGGACACAAACAUAGUUCACUGAGUAAGAAUUCUGAAUUUCAGUCAGAUUUCUUCCUCAGCUACUGACUCUAAAAGUGGAUAACUCUAGAGUAGUAUUGUCCCACUCACUUGGCCCAUUCUGCAUAACGUCAUCAUUGUAACCGACCAGCCAGAAGUAUUUCCUGUGGAAGAAAAGGGCAGUGAGGACCUUCAGCCUGUAGAGAUGACUCAUCCCUGAGGGAAGAUAAUGAAGGUGUAUGGGGACCUUGCCACCUGAAAGAAGUCAAAUUGGAUUGAACUAUGGAAACACGAGGAGGAGGCAUUUGCCUGCACUGUAGGUGCAUAUGGAACAAGGUGAUGUGGACUUUGAAGUUGCUCAAGCAAAGUAACCACAUGGUAUAGCAGCAGCAUAGGGUCUCCUGUAGUUAAAGAAUCGCCAUCUUCCUCAAUAACUUUCUGAUGGCUGACGCCCUAAGCACACCUGCUACUGCUCAGUCUUAACAGAGGCUUUCCAUGGUCCUUAAUGAACAGGGGCAAGUAAACAAAACUAUGCUGGCAUUAUUCGAAAACAGAGGAAUGUCUCUUACUUUCAAAAACAAGAGGAAGACUGACAAAGAUUCUUUUAAAAUUAUCCCAUUAUUAAAUAUUGGGGGAUCGUGUGGUUAAUGACAUUAUACUAACUUGUACAACUUCACAAUACAACAUAGCACACUCCAGUUUGUGCUCAACACCCACAGGAUAGCAUCCUUGGGUUUGAACUCCUUUGCCAUCGUAUCCUCACUCAUGCUUUUUCCCCUCAGGUGACCGCCACGGAAAAAGUCUGCAGGUAGGAGAUCUUCAAGGUGAAUGAGGAGGUGAACGGCCCAAUCUCUGCCCAUCGUGAUGGGUUCGUUACCCACUCUCCUUCACAAACAUCCCGAAUGGUCCGUUGGAGCGCAGCCGUCCAGUUUCCGGUUGGAUAUUGACAUCAUGCAAAGUCACCGGUAAGCCAGGCCACGACUUUGCUUCCUCUGUCAGCAGGUCAUAGGGAGCCUUCCAUGUGCCCACAAGUCUAGGCUGAAAGAGGGAUUGGCUGUCUGGCAGGAGGGCCAGCUCUUAUCUCACAGCUCUGAUCCUCCGAGAUCCCGUCAUGUGUGAACCAUCUCACCUUCAUGUGGUCUCCUGUGUGUGGCCUCUUUAGGCUCCGUGAGUGACAUAUCACCCAGGUCACAGUGGACAGCCAGGUUGCCUGGUAACAGUGGCCCAUGGUUAAGCACUACUUUUCUGAAACCCAGAGAGCCCUUUGUGGAUAAGUCACAGGCCAUCCUCAGCGUGAGGGCAGCCCCUUACCCUCACUGUCUGCCCCUCAAGGCUAGGACUGCUUAGGCCUAAGGAGGGGACGCAAGCCACCAGUGCUGCCCACGUGGACCUCAGCCACAGACUGGAAAUCUGGCCCCUCCAGUCCACUAGGGAGCCGGGGUCCCUAUGGGGCUUGUCCUCUAGGGUAGCUUCUUCAUGUUCUCGAAUGUUCUGAGAGAGGCCUCAGGGCCAAGGGUGCUGGGGCCCUGUGCCUGGCUAGGACUUUCGGAGAGAAAGGCCAGGGAGUGAUGUCAGGCAGAGCCGCACUGAGAGAGAGGCCAGGGCCUGGGGCUGGCGCUCCCUGAGCGAGGCGCAGCCCUGUGGUGAUGGGCCCGCUAUGUGGGGCCAGGUGGGCUCUCUGUGCAGGAGCUUUGGCUCCGAGGUGUUGACACUAGGCCGGACUCUGAGGCUCGCAUCGUCUCUGACCAUGUCACGCUGACAUGGACAAGUCACAGGCAUUGUUCUUUUUCUUCUUCCAAUGCCAAUUGUCUCUGUACUUCCUUUCAGUUUCACCAUAAUCUUUGCCUCUAGGUACAUAGCAACACAGCAGAUUUCUUUUUAAAACCUAGUAUUGAAGGUUGAAUAUCUUUCCCCAUUCUAACCUUACGUCACUCUCCCAAGGACAAAUAGGAAAACUCAAGGUAUCUGAGGCCCGGACACACCUCCAUGACCAGCCGGCUGCCUCGGAGCUGGGGACUCCGUGCUUCCUGCCGUCAGCAGAUCCAGCCUCAGAAACAGACCAGUUUACAAUCAUCUCUGAAAACUGCCACAAAUGGGCGGCCUGUUCUAAGCCGGGUCACCCAGGAAGGACGGGGGUAAGAGGGACAUUUUGCUCCAGAAACAGAAUGUCCAAAAAGGCCCAGCCCAUUAUUUUCCCCAGAAACGUUUGGAGGAGAGUAAAAUCCCAACAUGAGCUUCGAAGGCCCCUGUGCCCAGGGGAUGGCGUUGCCUGCUGAGGAGGGGCAGCAGGGGACACGGGCAGUUUCUCCACAGGCCGCAGCGGGAAGCUGGGCAGGAGCCUGGCGGGCCCCGGGUUCUCUAAGAGGUUCUUCUAGAAACAGACCCCUCAGAUGCUUCCUCUCACUUCAGGUAAGAAGUUACUGUUAAGGCACUUGGGGAGUUUCCCUUCUUCAGAAAGGAGGCACAGAUAUGUGAGUCAUCAGUGCAGCCUUAGUGGGAGACCUGAAGGUGGGGGACCCCGUAGAAGUGGACAAAGGCUGCUGCCACCACCAUGACACUAAAUACCCAACGUGACUGGUUCCAUGUGUCAACUUAAUAGGACCGAGCGCUCUGUAACUGGAGCAGCCUGGAGGCCAGCUCUGGGCUGCACAGCCCAGCCAUGAGGAAGAGCCGGCCCAGCUGCCUGCGUGUGUCCUUGACACAGCCCCUGGUGAGAGUCAAGGGCGUGGUGGACACAACACUGCUCCAGCCAGGGCCCAGGGACACCCCGACCUUGUCCACAGGUGUUUAGCGGGGGCCCAUUGUGCCACAAUGGUGGCGGGAUGCCCAGGACACAGAUGAUGGAGCGGUACAUGAGCCAGGGCUGUGGGGGCAGCAGUAAUGGAACCAGGGCGCCAAGCUCUGUAAUGUAGAGCAAGCCCCGCCUAAUGCAGUCUGCAAACUGCCCGAGAGGCUUUCUGGGAAGAGCUGUAGGUGGCGGGAAAGAGCCAGGAGGAGCUGAGGCAGAGCUCUGCGCCCAGGAACACCCCCAGCCCAACUGCCCCCAGCAGGGGCCAGAAGUACCUUUGGUCUGAGCAAGGUCAAGGUUCACAGAAAGAGAAACAGCAGAAAGAACCAGUAAGCAGAGCCGUGCAGUGAGAGCCCCUUUCUGUGCGGGUGCAGAUGCUGCUGGGAGCAGCCUGCGCGAGGGCCUGGCCUGUGCCCUUCAGCAGGAAGCUGUCCUGCAGCCGGUCAGGUAGCACGGCCUCAGCGUCC
This is a long non-coding RNA of Myotis daubentonii (Daubenton's bat), 3857 nucleotides long. RefSeq lists it as uncharacterized. Lineage: Eukaryota; Metazoa; Chordata; Mammalia; Chiroptera; Vespertilionidae. The transcript is spliced from 6 exons. The record is from RefSeq and is a predicted model, not a curated record.